AAGCACUGGUGAUUCAUCGAC
This 21-nucleotide non-coding RNA is filed under the name Arabidopsis thaliana (thale cress). Lineage: Eukaryota; Viridiplantae; Streptophyta; Magnoliopsida; Brassicales; Brassicaceae. The record is from RNAcentral.